RNAcentral lists this ribosomal RNA (476 nucleotides) under uncultured organism. RNAcentral's name for it is "partial 16S ribosomal RNA". It matches the Rfam family "Bacterial small subunit ribosomal RNA", at positions 333 to 800 of the family's 1533-position model. The record is from RNAcentral.
ACACUCCUACGGGAGGCAGCAGUGGGGAAUUUUGGACAAUGGGCGAAAGCCUGAUCCAGCAAUGCCGCGUGAGUGAAGAAGGCCUUCGGGUUGUAAAGCUCUUUUGUCAGGGAAGAAACGGUGAAAGCUAAUAUCUUUUGCUAAUGACGGUACCUGAAGAAUAAGCACCGGCUAACUACGUGCCAGCAGCCGCGGUAAUACGUAGGGUGCAAGCGUUAAUCGGAAUUACUGGGCGUAAAGCGUGCGCAGGCGGUUUUGUAAGUCUGAUGUGAAAUCCCCGGGCUCAACCUGGGAAUUGCAUUGGAGACUGCAAGGCUAGAAUCUGGCAGAGGGGAGUAGAAUGCCACGUGUAGCAGUGAAAUGCGUAGAUAUGUGGAGGAACACCGAUGGCGAAGGCAGCCCCCUGGGUCAAGAUUGACGCUCAUGCACGAAAGCGUGGGGAGCAAACAGGAUUAGAUACCCCAGUAGUCCCAUGA